CUGGUCCUGAUACCCACCACGAGAGUUCCGGUACUGACCCCGACCAUCAAUCUCUAGACUGGAGGCUGUACAGAAACAUGCCCUGAGUCUCUUCCACAGCUCUUGCCACCCUGUGGCUGGGAGUGGGGGAGUCUGGCUACCCAGGAUCCAGCUACUGUCCACGGUAGAAUGUACUAGCAUUCUUACAUGGAAGGCUGUAUAACACAAGUAGAAGCAAGGUCAAUUCUGCUGGCUAUAAGGUCUAAGGGAAUAGAUUCAUCAUACGCCUUGCUGAAUGACAUUCUCAUCAGCUAUGGGGCUUAUCUGAGGCCCUACCCUUCCUGCUGCCUCUCCGACUGUGAUAAUCAUCACUUGGAGUCCUGCGUUCGCUUCCGGUUGUCUUAAGCCAUUCCCCCUGGAAUGAGUCUGAAGCCAGUCUUCUGUGAGUGAUACCUCGAAAGGCUGAUCCCCAGAGACCAGCAUCUGUGAAAGAGGGCUUAGCCAAGAUGACUUGCCUGAAUCUGUUGCCAACCGGCCUCAUCCUGACCCCUCAGAAUAUUGAUGCCCAAAUAUUGGCCCCACCUUGAAGCAAAGAAUCAACUAUCUGUACCCUUGAACCAGAGUCAUGAACCACAUCGGAGAGGAGAGAUAAAGGCAAAAAGCAUAGCUUCCUAACUGAGGCAGACCUUAUUUGGUCAACAUCAAGUCUUGAGGAUUAGAAGGGGAGUAAGACUAGGGCCAGUCAGAUGGCUCUGUGGGUAAAGGCACUUGCUACCAAGCCUCAGAACCCAUAUGGUGGAAGGGGAGAACUGACUCCUGAAAGUUGUGCUCUGACCUGCAUGAAUGGAGGAGGUGGGAGGGAAGGAGAGAGAGGGAGAGGGAGGGGAAGAGAGGGGGAGGGGGAGGGAGAGGAGAGAGAAUAAAUAAAUGUGGUAUUUUGGGUUUUUUUUUUUU
This 933-nucleotide long non-coding RNA is filed under the name Mus spicilegus (steppe mouse). Its description in RNAcentral is "lncRNA (ENSMSIG00000021685.1)". The record is from RNAcentral. Lineage: Eukaryota; Metazoa; Chordata; Mammalia; Rodentia; Muridae.